CCCUAUUAUAGCUAAUGUAAAUUUAAUUUUGAGUAGUAUAUGAUUGGGUCAGGAAACUUAAAGAAUUUGGCGGUUUACAUUCUAAUUAGAGGAAUAUGUUUUUUAAUUGAUAAUCCACAAAUAUCUUACUUAAAUUUAUUUAUUUUGUAUAUCUCCGUCUUAAAAAGAUUUUUUAAAAUAUUUUUUAUAUAUUAUAAUUUUAAAAAAGUCAGGUCAAGGUGCAGAUUAUAUUUAAGUUAAAAUGUAUUACAAUAAAUUUAUUUUUGGAGUAAUUUUGAAAAAAAAAUUAUAAAAUUGGAUUUAUAAGUAAAUUUUUUUAUAUAAUAAUUGAUUGAAGUAUGUUAAAGUAUAUACACACAUC
RNAcentral lists this ribosomal RNA (361 nucleotides) under Psocomesites sp. KY286. RNAcentral's name for it is "partial 12S ribosomal RNA". Lineage: Eukaryota; Metazoa; Arthropoda; Insecta; Psocodea; Psocidae. The record is from RNAcentral.